RNAcentral lists this ribosomal RNA (505 nucleotides) under uncultured bacterium. RNAcentral describes it as "partial 16S ribosomal RNA". It matches the Rfam family "Bacterial small subunit ribosomal RNA", at positions 28 to 523 of the family's 1533-position model. The record is from RNAcentral.
GAUGAACGCUAGCUACAGGCUUAACACAUGCAAGUCGAGGGGUAACGAGAGGGAAGCUUGCUUUCCUUGUCGACGACCGGCGCACGGGUGAGUAACGCGUAUCCAACCUGCCCCCAACUAAGGAAUAACCUUGCGAAAGUAAGACUAAUACCUUAUAAUUUCCUCAGAUGACAUCUGACGAGGAAUAAAGAUUUAUCGGUUGUGGAUGGGGAUGCGUCUGAUUAGCUUGUUGGCGGGGUAACGGCCCACCAAGGCAACGAUCAGUAGGGGUUCUGAGAGGAAGGUCCCCCACAUUGGAACUGAGACACGGUCCAAACUCCUACGGGAGGCAGCAGUGAGGAAUAUUGGUCAGUGGCGGAAGCCUGAACCAGCCAAGUAGCGUGCAGGAUGACGGCCCUAUGGGUUGUAAACUGCUUUUAUACAGGAAUAAAGUUAGCCACGUGUGGUUAUUUGUAGGUACUGUAUGAAUAAGGACCGGCUAAUUCCGUGCCAGCAGCCGCGGUAA